RNAcentral lists this ribosomal RNA (598 nucleotides) under uncultured Bacteroidota bacterium. RNAcentral's name for it is "bacterial SSU rRNA". It matches the Rfam family "Bacterial small subunit ribosomal RNA", at positions 316 to 916 of the family's 1533-position model. The record is from RNAcentral. Lineage: Bacteria; Pseudomonadati; Bacteroidota.
GUACUGAGACACGGACCAGACUCCUACGGGAGGCAGCAGUGAGGAAUAUUGGACAAUGGGCGCAAGCCUGAUCCAGCCAUGCCGCGUGCAGGAAGACGGUCCUAUGGAUUGUAAACUGCUUUUAUACAGGAAGAAACACCUCUACGUGUAGAGACUUGACGGUACUGUAUGAAUAAGCAUCGGCUAACUCCGUGCCAGCAGCCGCGGUAAUACGGAGGAUGCAAGCGUUAUCCGGAAUCAUUGGGUUUAAAGGGUCCGUAGGCGGCCAAAUAAGUCAGUGGUGAAAGCCCAUCGCUCAACGAUGGAACGGCCAUUGAUACUGUUUGGCUUGAAUUAUUAGGAAGUAACUAGAAUAUGUAGUGUAGCGGUGAAAUGCUUAGAGAUUACAUGGAAUACCAAUUGCGAAGGCAGGUUACUACUAAUAUAUUGACGCUGAUGGACGAAAGCGUGGGGAGCGAACAGGAUUAGAUACCCUGGUAGUCCACGCCGUAAACGAUGGUUACUAGCUGUUCGGAGCAAUCUGAGUGGCUAAGCGAAAGUGAUAAGUAUCCCACCUGGGGAGUACGUUCGCAAGAAUGAAACUCAAAGGAAUUGACGG